CUCCCAGACUCCUACGGGAGGCAGCAGUGGGGGAUAUUGCACAAUGGGGGGAACCCUGAUGCAGCGACGCCGCGUGAACGAAGAAAUAUUUCGGUAUGUAAAGUUCUAUCAGCAGGGAAGAAAAUGACAGUACCUGACCAAGAAGCCCCGGCUAACUACGUGCCAGCAGCCGCGGUAAUACGUAGGGGGCAAGCGUUAUCCGGAUUUACUGGGUGUAAAGGGAGCGUAGACGGCAGUGCAAGUCUGGAGUGAAAGGCGGGGGCUCAACCCCCGGACUGCUCUGGAAACUGUACGGCUGGAGUGCAGGAGAGGUAAGUGGAAUUCCUAGUGUAGCGGUGAAAUGCGUAGAUAUUAGGAGGAACACCAGUGGCGAAGGCGGCUUACUGGACUGUAACUGACGUUGAGGCUCGAAAGCGUGGGGAGCAAACAGGAUUAGAUACCCCAGUA
RNAcentral lists this ribosomal RNA (447 nucleotides) under uncultured bacterium. RNAcentral's name for it is "bacterial SSU rRNA". It matches the Rfam family "Bacterial small subunit ribosomal RNA", at positions 328 to 792 of the family's 1533-position model. The record is from RNAcentral.